ACCGAAGCGGCGGACUAAUCUAUAUUAGUGGUAGGGGAGCUUUCCCCGCAGCGGAGAAGCCGAGAGGGCGACCCUCGGUGGAGCGCGGGGAAGUGAGAAUGCUGGCAUGAGUAACGAGAGCGGCGCGAGAAACGCCGCCGCCGUAAGCCUAAGGGUUCCUGGGCAAGGCUAAUCCUCCCAGGGUCAGUCGGGAGCUAAGGCGAGGCCGAGAGGCGUAGCCGAUGCGCAACAGGCGGACAUUCCUGUACCGCCUGCGGACCGCUAUCACCGACGGGGUGACGGAGAAGGGUAGCCGAGCGGGGUUCUGGACGUCCCCGUGAAAGCGCGUAGGGAGCAUCGCAUGGAAAUCAGCGGCGCACGUAUCCUGAGACGCGAGACGAAAGCUUAUGCUGAAGUCGGCGAGCCCAUGCUUCCGAGAAAAACCUCUAGGAAGGGACGCAGGCGCCCGUACCAAAACCGACACAGGUGGGCAGGUAGAGCAUACCGAGGCGAUCGGGAGAACCAUGGUUAAGGAACUCGGCAUACUGACUCCGUAACUUCGGGAGAAGGAGUGCCCCUGGCGGUGACGGGACU
Molecule: ribosomal RNA, 573 nt
Filed under: Eggerthella lenta
Lineage: Bacteria; Bacillati; Actinomycetota; Coriobacteriia; Eggerthellales; Eggerthellaceae
Description: partial 23S ribosomal RNA
Rfam family: Bacterial large subunit ribosomal RNA
Source: RNAcentral